AUGGAAGUGGCAUUAGCUAGUGCUGCCUUAAGCAUAAGCUUAAAAUUGGCUGCAUCGCCGGCCUUAAAGAAGCUCCUUUCUAAUGCUUCAACGUACCUUGGAGUGAAUAUGGCACGUGAGCUCCAUGAACUGGAGACCACUGUCUUGCCGCAGUUUGAGCUAUUGAUUGAAGCAGCAGAUAAGGGAAACCACAGGCCCAGGUUGGACAAAUGGCUUCAGGAACUCAAAGAAGGCUUCUACCUGGCUGAAGACUUGCUGGACAAGCAUGAGUAUAACCUCCUCAAGCGCCAUGCCAAGGGGAAGGAUUCCUCGUCGGCCAAUUCCUCCAUCAGCAGCACUUUAAUGAAGCCUUUGCGUGCUGCAUCAAGCAGGCUAUCCAAUCUGAGCUCUGAGAACAGAAAGCUAAUUCAACAUCUGAAUGAAUUGAAGGCUACCUUGGCAAAAGCUAAGGACUUCCGUCAACUGCUCUGCUUACCAGCUGGUUAUAUUGCGGAGCGCCCCAUCAUACCAUCAGCUGCUGUUCCUGAGACCACAUCACUGCCACCUCUGAAAGUGAUUGGUCGUGAUAAGGAUCGUGAUCAUAUAAUAGAGUGUCUUACCAAGACAACUGCUACUACUGAGUCUAGUGUUGCUAUGUACUCGGGUUUGGCCAUUGUUGGAGCUGGAGGCAUGGGAAAGUCCACCUUGGCACAGCUUGUUUACAAUGACAAAAGGGUAAAAGAACAUUUUGAUGUGACAAUGUGGGUAAGCAUCUCACGCAAACUUGAUGUCCGUCGUCAUACACGGGAGAUAAUUGAGUCUGCCUCUCAGGGGGAGUGCCCACGCAUUGAUAACCUUGAUACUCUGCAACGCAAGCUGUCCAACAUAUUGCAAGAGUCAGGGAAAUUCCUGCUCGUGUUGGAUGAUGUUUGGUUUGAACCUGGCAGUGACAGAGAAUGGGACCAACUGUUAGCUCCUCUAGUUUCCCAAGAGACAGGAAGCAAAGUUUUGGUAACUUCUCGACAUAAUAUAUUUCCAGCUGCUCUUUGCUGUGAAGUGUGUCCUCUGGAAAAGAUGAAAGAAACUCAGUUCUUGGCACUCUUCAAAUACCAUGCAUUCUCUGGACCAGAAAUUACAAAUCCGCAGUUGCAUGAAAGGCUGGAAGAUCUUGCAGGGAAGAUUGCUAAAAGGCUUGGACAAUCUCCUUUGGCGGCAAAAGCUGUGGGUUCCCAGUUGAAAGGGAAAACAGAUAUCACUGCAUGGAAGGAUGCUCUUACUAUAAAGAUUGACAAACUAAGUGAUCCCUUGAGAGCUCUGUUCUGGAGUUAUGAGAAGUUAGGUCCAUGUCUGCAGAGGUGCUUCCUAUAUUGCAGCUUGUUUCCAAAAGGCCACAAGUAUGACAUUAAUGAGUUGGUUCAUCUUUGGAUGGCAGAGGGCCUUAUUGAUUCGUGUAACAAAAACAAGAGAGUGAUGUUGGGAGCAGGGUGGGAUUGCUUCAAUGAAAUGAUCUCUGUUUCGUUCUUUCAACAAGCUUAUGGGACAUACUUUGUUAUGCAUGAUCUCCUUCAUGACCUGGCAGAAUCACUCUCCCAAAAAGACUACUUCAGAUUGGAAGGUGAUAAGGUGACAGAAAUACCAUCCACUGUACGCCACCUAUCUGUUCGUGUUGAUAGUAUGAAGCAACAUGAACAAAGUAUCUGCAAGCUACAUCAUUUACGCACGAUUAUCUGCAUAGACCCCCUAAUGGAUGAUGUAAGCUACCUUUUUAAGAUACUACAGAAUUUGAAGAAGUUGCGUGUACUAUCUUUGUCAUCUUACAGCAGUAGUAGGUUGCCAGAAUCUGUUGGUGAGUUGAAGCACCUUCGGUAUUUGAACAUCAUCAGAACACUGAUUUCUGAUUUGCCAAAAUCACUGUGUACUCUUUACCACUUGCAGUUACUUCUCUUCAAUCACACAGUUGAGAGUUUGCCUGAGAAACUCUGUAAUUUAACGAAGCUACGGCAUAUUAAAAGGCAUCAAAAUAGAAUUCGUAACAUUGGCAAGCUAACUUCGCUUCAACAAGUUAGGAAAUUUUCAGUGCAAAAGGAAAAGGGAUAUGAGUUGCAACAGUUGAGGGACAUGAACGAGAUUCAUGGCCAAUUUAGUGUAUAUAACCUUGAGAAUGUCGCUGGGAAGGAUGAAGCCCUAGAAUCAAAACUGCACCAGAAAAAACAUAUUUGGGAUUUGCAUCUUGUCUGGAGUUGCAAGAAUAACGUGAAUGCAGAUGAUAGUUUACAUUUGGAGAUUCUAGAGGGCCUGAUGCCACCGCCUCAAUUGAGGCGUAUUCAAAUUGAUGGUUACAAAUCUUCAAAACAUCCAGACUGGUUACUUGAUGCUUCAUAUUUUGAGAAUUUGGAAUCUUUAUGCUUUGUUAAUUGCAGCGCAUUACAAAGCCUACCAUCCAAUAUUGAGCUAUUUGAGAAUUGUUCUUCACUUGUCCUCUGCGAUGUGCCAAACCUGAAGACAUUACCUCUUCUUCCACUAGGCCUUGAAGUGUUAGAAGUAAAAAAAUGCCCACUUCUUGUAUUCAUUUCCAACGAUGAGUUGGAGAAUCAUGAUCAGAGAGAGAAUAUCAUGAGGACAGACCACUUGGCAUCCCAACUUAGUUUAAUCUGGGAGGUGGAUUCAGGAUCAUAUAUUAAGUUGGUGCUCUCAUCGGAAUAUUCAUUUCUCAAGCAGCUGAAGAUACUGAUGCGUGCUGAUGUAUCACAUGUUGAAAACCUUGAAAGUUCUCCAGAAAGAGAGGAAGAUGAAGUAUUGGUAAAAGAGGAUAUCAUCAAGGCAUGUAUAUAUUGUCACGAACAGAGGAUUAGACUCAUCUAUGGAAGGAGCAUUGGGCUCCCGCUGGUUCUACCAUCAGGACUUCGUCGACUUUCUCUUUCUUCAUGCAGUAUUACAGAUGGAGCUUUAGCUAUUUGCCUUGAUGGCUUGACUUCUCUAGAAAGGUUGUCCUUAGAAGAAAUUAUGACUUUAACUACACUUCCUUCAGAAGAGGUCCACCAACAUUUGACAAAACUUGGCAGCUUGGUCAUCAAAUCUUGCUGGCGUCUCAGGUCAUUAGGGGGCUUACGAGCUGCUACCUCUCUUUCUCAUGUGACAUUGAUGUUCUGCCCUUCUUCAGAGUUGGCAUGUGGAGCAGAAUGUUUGCCAUUAUCUCUUGAGAGUCUAUGUAUAUGGAAUUGUGUGCUUGGAGCUGACUUCCUCUGUGCUGACUGGCCACACAUUAAUGCUAUUGAAAUAAGAUAUUGCAGAAGCACCGCUUGCAUGUCUGUUGGUAAUCUAACCUCUGUUAAAUCAUUCUCACUGUUUAGCUUGCCAGAUUUAUGUACGCUCGAAGGAUUGUCUUCCCUGCAACUUGAAAGUGUACAUUUGUAUGAUGUUCCGAAACUCAUCCCGGAGUGUAUCUCAGAGUUUCGAGUCCAGAAUUCACUCGGAGUUAGCAGUCCUGUAAUACUCAACAACAUGCUCUCUGCUGAAGGUUUCACAGUUCCAAAAACCCUCUCUCUUAUAAACUGCGAGGAGCCAGUUAUUUCAUUCGAAGAAUCCGCAAAUUUCACAUCUGUCCAGAGCCUGACAUUCUUUGGUUGUCGGAUGAUUUCCCUGCCAACAAAUCUGAAAUGCUUCUCCAAUCUGAAGAAUCUUCACAUCCAGCGCUGCCUCAACAUAUCAUCUUUACCAGAUCUGCCAUCCUCCCUCCAAAACAUACGCGUAUUGGCUUGUUCUGAGCUGUUGAAGGAGAACUGCCGAGCACCUGAUGGAGAAAGUUGGCCAAAGAUUGCUCAUAUCCGCUGGAAGGAAUUUAGAUAG
This 3825-nucleotide ribosomal RNA is filed under the name Triticum aestivum (bread wheat). Its description in RNAcentral is "partial small subunit ribosomal RNA". The record is from RNAcentral. Lineage: Eukaryota; Viridiplantae; Streptophyta; Magnoliopsida; Poales; Poaceae.